AUGCGGCGCUGGCGGGGCGCGGGGCUGGCGGCGCUGGCCGCGGUGCUGCUCGUGGCUGCGGGCAGAGCCCGGGUGCAGCAGGAGCCGUUGGUAGAGACCACCGAGGGCACCCAAAUCACCAUCAACUGCUCACACCCCGAUAUCAGGUCAAAUGAAUACAUCUGGUGGUACCGUCAGCUCCCGGGCCGAGGCCCCGAACUCCUCGGGAACGUUCACAAAGGCUCCAAAGAGCUGCCCGACAAGGCGGCACAGCUGUCGGUGUCACCAGACCGUCGCUGGAGCUCCCUGUGUCUCUCCCGGCCCCGUUUGCAGGACGCGGCCGUGUAUUCCUGUGCCCUGGCAGACACGGCCAGAGGAGCCGGGGCUGCGGCCGGGCACGAACCGCCGCGGCGGGGCCGGGAAGGAACCAGAAGUGGAAAGCAGCUGUUUGGAGUCCCACCUGACAAGUGGCAGAAGCUGCCGAAG
Non-coding RNA from Empidonax traillii (willow flycatcher), 465 nucleotides. NCBI's taxonomy places the organism in Eukaryota, Metazoa, Chordata, Aves, Passeriformes, Tyrannidae. The record is from the annotation of a RefSeq genome assembly.